GUAACGCGUAGGUAAGCUGCCCACGCACAGGGAUAGCCGGAGAAACCUGGAUUAAUACCUGAUAAUGCAGAGGAGUCACAUGGCUCUUCUGCCAAAGAUUUAUCGGCAUGGGAUGCACCUGCGUCUGAUUAGCCAGUUGGUGAGGUAACGGCCACCAAGCAACGAUCAGUAGCCGACCUGAGAGGGUAAUCGGCCACAUUGGAACUGAGACACGGUCCAAACUCCUACGGGAGGCAGCAGUGGGGAAUAUUGCACAAUGGGCGCAAGCCUGAUGCAGCAAAACCGCCGCGUGAGCGAUGAAGGUCUUCGGAUUGUAAAGCUCUGUCCUUGAGGACGAACAAUGACGGUACUCUUGGAGGAAGCCCCGGCUAACUACGUGCCAGCAGCUGC
RNAcentral lists this ribosomal RNA (390 nucleotides) under uncultured bacterium. Its description in RNAcentral is "bacterial SSU rRNA". It matches the Rfam family "Bacterial small subunit ribosomal RNA", at positions 110 to 518 of the family's 1533-position model. The record is from RNAcentral.